RNAcentral lists this long non-coding RNA (750 nucleotides) under Felis catus (domestic cat). RNAcentral's name for it is "lncRNA (ENSFCAG00000040446.2)". Lineage: Eukaryota; Metazoa; Chordata; Mammalia; Carnivora; Felidae. The record is from RNAcentral.
CUUUGUUUACAAAAUAUAUGGUUUAUUUUAUUUUAUUUAUUUAUUUUUUUUUGUCAACCUUUCAGCUUUGCUAGAAAUGCUGGGCAACAGGAAAGAAUUGAGUUCAUGACUCAUCAGCUUAUUAGACCACACGUCUCAGUGACUAUACAUGCUGCCGUCAGUCUCCGUUUUAUGGUGGUGAUAAAGGAAGGAUUCAGCUUAAUGGGAAGAUUUGCCCAACCCAAACCCUGCAGUAUCCAGCCUACCUCAAGCAGCUGGAAAUCACUUUUCACAGGAGUACUUUGGCACAUCCCCAUGAAAAAGGGAAUAUUUGUGCAAAGGUAAGUGAUUUUCUUACUGACCCCAUCUCAAAUCAAGAACCUCUUAUUAUCCACUGCAUGAUGUUGCUUCCACAAAGGAAGUAGGUAUAUUAAAUCAAUUGAAAACCAGUCAAAUUUAGAAAAAAAAAACUGUAUAAAUAUGUAGCAUUAUUCUGCCAAUUCUUUAAUCAUGCUUAUAUAGAAUCAUUAUAGAUAACUCUCCUCUGGGGUGCCUGGGUGGCCCAGUUCGUUAAGCAUCCGACUUCAGCUCAGGUCAUGAUCUCACCGUUUGCGAGUUCGAGCCCUGCAUCGGGCUCUGUGCUGACAGUUCAGAGCCUGGAGCCUGCUUCAGCUUCUGUGUCUCCCUCUCUCUCUGCCCCUCCCCAGCUCGCACUCUGUCCCUCUGUCUCUCAAAAAUAAAUAAACAUUAAAAACAAAGAACUCUCCUCUA